Molecule: ribosomal RNA, 655 nt
Filed under: uncultured bacterium
Lineage: Bacteria
Description: bacterial SSU rRNA
Rfam family: Bacterial small subunit ribosomal RNA
Source: RNAcentral
GGCUUAGAGUUUGAUCAUGGCUCAGAGUGAACGCUGGCGGCGUACCUAAUACAUGCAAGUCGAACGAUGAAGCUUCUAGCUUGCUAGAAGUGGAUUAGUGGCGCACGGGUGAGUAAGGUAUAGUUAAUCUGCCCUACACAAGAGGACAACAGUUGGAAACGACUGCUAAUACUCUAUAUUCCUGCUUAACACAAGUUGAGUAGGGAAAGUUUUUCGGUGUAGGAUGAGACUAUAUAGUAUCAGCUAGUUGGUAAGGUAAUGGCUUACCAAGGCUAUGACGCUUAACUGGUCUGAGAGGAUGAUCAGUCACACUGGAACUGAGACACGGUCCAGACUCCUACGGGAGGCAGCAGUAGGGAAUAUUGCGCAAUGGGGGAAACCCUGACGCAGCAACGCCGCGUGGAGGAUGACACUUUUCGGAGCGUAAACUCCUUUUCUUAGGGAAGAAUUCUGACGGUACCUAAGGAAUAAGCACCGGCUAACUCCGUGCCAGCAGCCGCGGUAAUACGGAGGGUGCAAGCGUUACUCGGAAUCACUGGGCGUAAAGGGCGCGUAGGCGGAUUAUCAAGUCUCUUGUGAAAUCUAAUGGCUUAACCAUUAAACUGCUUGGGAAACUGAUAGUCUAGAGUGAGGGAGAGGCAGAUGGAAUUAAGCC